ACUGCAUGAAAUUUUAUCAGGGGAAAAAAAUAAUAAAACUGAGAUCCAAUUUCACGAAAAUGCUCUUGCCAUAAUGCUCAGGCGAACAGGGGAAAGAAAGAGAUCCAAGCCCUCCUAAUGUCUACCUUAACUGCAGAAGCUGCCACCACACAACAAGUCCUGAUCCAACGGGAGUAACUCUCGAGCAACCUUUCUGUCUGCCCAACCAACUUGCCAGUGUGUCCUCAUUACCAUUCCCUGCUGGCUUUGUGCUUCAACCAAAUGCAGCAUCUGGGUGACCAGCAACAAAAUGAGAUGAGCUGGCCCAUACCCAGCUUGUUUGGAGGCAACAGACUCACAGAAAAGAGCAAAGUGAGUCAAGAAUUGACUUACUCAUUUUCACAAUUUCCUAUCAGAUAAAUCCACAGAACAGAGAAUUCCCUCAGGUAAAAUUCGCCAAAGAACGAUUACCCUGCCUUUCUCCCAGAGCAAACAAAUAUGAUGUGGCUUUGAUUGGAGGCAUGACACACAAUCAAUAUCCAGAGAGAUAAAACAGAGUGCUUUGCUAAAUCCUAAUGCAUGCACCAAGCUGUAUCAUAUGCCCCCAACUUCCUUUUGUAAAAGGACACGGUAUGACUGUUCUAAGGAAGGCUUUGCCUCUUUAGGUGUUUUCUUUCCUAUAAGCAUGGGAUGGGUAGGUGGGUGAGAGCAUGAGGAAGGGUUCUUAUGAAGACUCCCACAUCAUGAAGAAAAGCAAGAGCCAACCAAUGUUGGUUCACUUUGCAAAAGGGGAUUUGCCUGGAUCCAACUAGUUCAGAGAUGAAAUGUUGCUUGCAUGAUGAAGCCGAAUUUCCCGGUUCAUCACUUAGUCCCAAAGUGACCUGGAUCAUCUGGAAAGAAGAGGGCCAGUCAGAGAUGGUUUUAGGAUGAAAAACGCCAUGAGGGGGAAUGUCUUAGACACUCUGACGCCUUCUGACGCCUUCUCAUCAGCUCCAACAUGUGAAUCACAGUCUCCUCAGGUAAAGGGUCAUUUUGGUAAAAAAGGCCUCAAUCAACCUCCAAAUGAUUCAGAAAUACCUGGAUUUCUUCCCAAAAAGUAACCUCUCAGUACUUGUGAAACACUCAAUCUACAGAGAGAAAUACAUUAUAGCUUCUAUAAUAAAACAUAUAUUGAGAAAAGAUGUCAUCAUUAACUCAAACUGAACAAAUAUGCCCUCUCUGCUCUUCCUGGCCAAUAUAUACAUAUAUAUAUAUUCAAGAUGAUUUAUCAUAGCUCAGUACUAAUCCGAUCAAGAAACAUCAACUACAGCUGUUGAAUUUCCUAUUGCCCCCAGAAGAUUAUGAACAAUACAAAAGAACAGAUACCAGAUUGUUAGAAUCAUUUUUUUUUCUCACCUGGAUCCCCUGAGGCAAUAAAUUCCAUGCUGCUGACUUGAGGGCAUAAAGGUUGGGUUCCACUGGAUUAAAAA
Long non-coding RNA from Erinaceus europaeus (western European hedgehog), 1448 nucleotides. RefSeq lists it as uncharacterized. The transcript is spliced from 2 exons. Lineage: Eukaryota; Metazoa; Chordata; Mammalia; Eulipotyphla; Erinaceidae. The record is from RefSeq and is a predicted model, not a curated record.